Molecule: ribosomal RNA, 407 nt
Filed under: uncultured bacterium
Lineage: Bacteria
Description: partial 16S ribosomal RNA
Rfam family: Bacterial small subunit ribosomal RNA
Source: RNAcentral
AUUGAACGCUGGCGGCAUGCCUAACACAUGCAAGUCGAGCGGAGCGGCGGACGGGUGGGUAAUGCCUAGGAAUCUGCCUGGUAUUGGGGGAUGACGUCCGUAAACGGGCGCUAAUCCCGCAUACUAUCAGAUGAGACUAGGUCGGAUUAGCUAGUUGGUGGGGUAAAGGCCUACCAAGGCGACGAUCCGUAACUGGUCUGAGAGGAUGAUCAGUCACACUGGAACUGAGACACGGUCCAGACUCCUACGGGAGGCAGCAGUGGGGAAUAUUGGACAAUGGGCGAAAGCCUGAUCCAGCCAGGCCGCGUGUGUGAAGAAGGUCUUCGGAUUGUAAAGCACUUUAAGUUGGGAGGCGGUACCAACAGAAUAAGCACCGGCUAACUUCGUGCCAGCCGCCGCGGUAAUUC